This 468-nucleotide ribosomal RNA is filed under the name uncultured bacterium. RNAcentral describes it as "partial 16S ribosomal RNA". It matches the Rfam family "Bacterial small subunit ribosomal RNA", at positions 28 to 507 of the family's 1533-position model. The record is from RNAcentral.
GACGAACGCUGGCGGCGUGCUUAACACAUGCGAGUCGAACGGAAAGGCCCUGCGUUUGUGGGGUGCUCGAGUGGCGAACGGGUGAGUAACACGUGAGUAACCUGCCCUUGUCUUUGGGAUAACUUCAGGAAACUGGGGCUAAUACCGGAUAGGAGCUCCUGCUGCGUGGUGGGGGUUGGAAAGUUUCGGCGGUGGGGGAUGGACUCGCGGCUUACGCGCUUGUUGGUGGGGUAGUGGAUUACCAGGGCUUUGACGGGUAGCCGGCCUUGGAGGGGUACCGGCGUCCUUGGGACUGAGGUACGGACCAGACUCCAAUGGGAGGCAACAGUGGGGAAUAUUACACAAUGGGCGGAAGCGUGAUGCAACGACGCCGGGUGCGGAAUGACGGCCUUUGGGUUAUAAACCGCUUUCGCCUGUGACGAAGCGUGAGUGACGGUAAUGGGUAAAGAAGCACCGGCUAACUACGUG